GACUCCUACGGGAGGCAGGCAGUGGGGAAUAUUGGACACAAUGGGGGAAACCCUGAUGCAGCGACGCCGCGUGGAGGAAGAAGGUCUUCGGAUUGUAAACUCCUGUUGUUGGGGAAGAUAAUGACGGUACCCAACAAGGAAGUGACGGCUAACUACGUGC
RNAcentral lists this ribosomal RNA (160 nucleotides) under uncultured bacterium. Its description in RNAcentral is "partial 16S ribosomal RNA". It matches the Rfam family "Bacterial small subunit ribosomal RNA", at positions 334 to 508 of the family's 1533-position model. The record is from RNAcentral.